GUCGAGGGGACGUGGCUACAAAGCGCCGUUCUUAGGCCUUCCACUAUGUGCCCGGUGCCCGGUGCACUAAAAUAUAGCAGACUGCGUAUCGAUGCCCUUAUAAAAGAAUUUGGUACCGGCCUCACAAUGUGCGUUUGUAGCCCGUAGAAAAGCGGGACCCACACGUCCAUAAAAAAAUCGAGCAAGCCAACCUCUCCUCGAUCCUUCGCGCGAGUUCCUUCUCGUCCGCCUCUGUCCAGAGAAAAUCCCCUUUCUCCUCCGACCAGAUCCAUCUCCAUCCUCACCUCCUCGUCUCGAUCCGGCGUGGAUCUAGGCCAAAUCGACACGCAUCUCCUACCCCAGGCAAGGUGUUCGUUGGCCCGCCGAGGCUCCGCGGCUAGUGGAGGUGAUGUGCGGCGGGGGACGAGCUCCAUGGACGAGGAGGAGGAAGCAGGAGGCGGAGGCGGGCCAGCAGUAUGUUGUGGCUAGCGCUGCCCGGACUACUGGACGGCCGGCUACUGCGCUGCCUCUACUACUUUCUACUACUAUGCUGCCUCUACUGGUCUCGAAGCAGCACAGGUGACAUGGGAGAACUAAAUCCAACUGGACUGUUCUCAACUCCUCUUGAACUAGUGCCUCUAGCAGAUCCAAGAAAAGGUAUGCAUCCAGCAGGAGAAGCUGGACUGCUACUUGAGCCUGCUCCAAAUGCUCCCGAAGGGUACUGCCCCAUGUUACCUUGGUAAGCAACACCAUCGUAGCCUAGAGGUUGUUUCGGCUCUGUGCAUCUGAAGGUGAGAAGGAGGAGUUCAUCAUGCUUGUGAAGCUUUGAGAAGAUGAGUGCUCCAUGUUUUGGGGGAGAGUUUCUCCAAGAUCUUCUUGUGCUUCUAUGAGCUUGUUCUGUACAUUUUAUAGACAUAUUCUCCAAACGGGCAGAUUUUCCUACUGCAGUGCAACGGUCAUCUGGAAAUUUUAGUGCUCUGGUUUGCUGUGAA
Molecule: long non-coding RNA, 971 nt
Organism: Aegilops tauschii subsp. strangulata
Lineage: Eukaryota; Viridiplantae; Streptophyta; Magnoliopsida; Poales; Poaceae
Source: RefSeq, a predicted model, not a curated record